CGCGUACACUACCUACCUUACACAGGAGAAUAGCCUUUGGAAACGAAGAUUAAUGCUCCAUGGUACCGUUUACGGUUAAAGCUCCGGCGGUGUAAGAUGGGUGUGCGUGCCAUUAGCUAGUUGGUAAGGUAACGGCUUACCAAGGCUACGAUGGCUAAGGGGCGUGAGAGCGUGAACCCUCACACGGGUACUGAGACACGGACCCGACUCCUACGGGAGGCAGCAGUAAGGAAUAUUGGUCAAUGGACGCAAGUCUGAACCAGCCAUCCCGCGUGCAGGAUGACGGCCCUACGGGUUGUA
RNAcentral lists this ribosomal RNA (300 nucleotides) under uncultured Saprospiraceae bacterium. Its description in RNAcentral is "bacterial SSU rRNA". It matches the Rfam family "Bacterial small subunit ribosomal RNA", at positions 114 to 427 of the family's 1533-position model. The record is from RNAcentral. Lineage: Bacteria; Pseudomonadati; Bacteroidota; Saprospiria; Saprospirales; Saprospiraceae.